CACGCAGGCGGUUUUUUAAGUCAGAUGUGAAAGGUACCGGCUCAACCGGUGACAUGCAUUUGAAACUGAAAGACUUGAGUAUUGGAGAGGCAAGUGGAAUUCCUAGUGUAGCGGUGAAAUGCGUAGAUAUUAGGAGGGACACCAGUGGCGAAGGCGACUUUCUGGACUGUAACUGACACUGAGGCUCGAAAGCCAGGGUAGUGAACG
This 207-nucleotide ribosomal RNA is filed under the name uncultured bacterium. RNAcentral describes it as "partial 16S ribosomal RNA". It matches the Rfam family "Bacterial small subunit ribosomal RNA", at positions 568 to 774 of the family's 1533-position model. The record is from RNAcentral.